CGUACUGCUCAGUAACACGUGGAUAACCUACCCUCGGGACGGGGAUAAACCCGGGAAACUGGGUACAAUACCCGAUAGAUCUUGAAAGCUGGAAUGCAUCAAGGUCGAAAGCUCCGACGCCCAAGGAUGGGUCUGCGGCCUAUCAGGUAGUAGUGGGUGUAAUGGACCUACUAGCCUACAACGGGUACGGGUUGUGAGAGCAAGAGCCCGGAGAUGGAUUCUGAGACACGAAUCCAGGCCCUACGGGGUGCAGCAGGCGCGAAACCUUUACAAUGCUGGCAACAGCGAUAGGGGGACCUCGAGUGCCUUGAUACAAUCAAGGCUGUCGUUGUGCCUAAAAAGCACGAUAUAGCAAGGGCCGGGCAAGACCGGUGCCAGCCGCCGCGGUAACACCGGCGGCUCGAGUGGUAACCGUUAUUAUUGGGUUUAAAGGGUCUGUAGCCGGCCGGAUAAGUCUCUUGGGAAAUCUGGCAGCUCAACUGUCAGGCUUUCAGGAGAUACUGUUCGGCUCGAGACCGGGAGAGGUGAGAGGUACUUCAGGGGUAGGGGUGAAAUCUUGUAAUCCUUGAAGGACCACCAGUGGCGAAGGCGUCUCACCAGAACGGAUCUGACGGCAAGGGACGAAAGCUAGGGGCACGAACC
Molecule: ribosomal RNA, 642 nt
Filed under: uncultured archaeon
Lineage: Archaea
Description: bacterial SSU rRNA
Rfam family: Archaeal small subunit ribosomal RNA
Source: RNAcentral